CUCAGGACGAACGCUGGCGGCGUGCUUAACACAUGCAAGUCGAACGGGGAUAUUCAGAUGAGAGCUUCGGCAGGAUUCAGGGAUAUUCCAGUGGCGGACGGGUGAGUAACGCGUGAACAAUCUGUCCCAGACAGGGGGAUAACACUUGGAAACAGGUGCUAAUACCGCAUGAGACCACGGUGUCGCAUGGCACAGGGGUAAAAGGAGUAAUCCGGUUUGGGGUGAGUUCGCGUCCGAUUAGCCAGUUGGCGGGGUAACGGCCCACCAAAGCGACGAUCGGUAGCCGACCUGAGAGGGUGAUCGGCCACAUUGGAACUGAGAGACGGUCCAAACUCCUACGGGAGGCAGCAGUGGGGAAUAUUGGGCAAUGGGCGAAAGCCCUGACCCAGCAACGCCGCGUGAGUGAAGAAGGCCUUCGGGUUGUAAAGCUCUGUUAUGUGGGACGAAGGAAGUGACGGUACCACAUAAGGAAGCCCCGGCUAACUACGUGCCAGCCGCCGC
This 501-nucleotide ribosomal RNA is filed under the name uncultured bacterium. RNAcentral describes it as "bacterial SSU rRNA". It matches the Rfam family "Bacterial small subunit ribosomal RNA", at positions 23 to 518 of the family's 1533-position model. The record is from RNAcentral.